Molecule: ribosomal RNA, 468 nt
Filed under: uncultured bacterium
Lineage: Bacteria
Description: partial 16S ribosomal RNA
Rfam family: Bacterial small subunit ribosomal RNA
Source: RNAcentral
GACGAACGCUGGCGGCGUGCUUAACACAUGCAAGUCGAACGGAAAGGCCCUGCUUUUGUGGGGUGCUCGAGUGGCGAACGGGUGAGUAACACGUGAGUAACCUGCCCUUGACUUUGGGAUAACUUCAGGAAACUGGGGCUAAUACCGGAUAGGAGCUCCUGCUGCAUGGUGGGGGUUGGAAAGUUUCGGCGGUUGGGGAUGGACUCGCGGCUUAUCAGCUUGUUGGUGGGGUAGUGGCUUACCAAGGCUUUGACGGGUAGCCGGCCUGAGAGGGUGACCGGCAACAUUGGGACUGAGAUACGGCCCAGACUCCUACGGGAGGCAGCAGUGGGGAAUAUUGCACAAUGGGCGGAAGCCUGAUGCAGCAACGCCGCGUGCGGGAUGACGGCCUUCGGGUUGUAAACCGCUUUCGCCUGUGACGAAGCGUGAGUGACGGUAAUGGGUAAAGAAGCACCGGCUGACUACGUG